CUUCUCAAAAAAAAAAUUAACUCAUAUUGCGAGAGGUGAGUUGAGCCUUAGCUCACGUGCUGAGCUAUUUCUAUCUUAACGUCUGUUUUUAAAAAAGUUAAUUCAUAUUACGAGAAGUGAGUUGAGCCUUGUUUCACACGCUGAGGAUCACAUACCAAGUAAAGAAUAAAGAUUGGAGCUGAUUGAAGACACCAGAUUUUGUUUCCCUGAAGUUGCAGUGGAGCUGAUCGAGGAUAUCAAAUGAUGCCCUUCUAAAGUUGCAGAAGAGAAGACCACAAGCCUUAUCUUACUAAAGCGAUAAAAGAGCAGAUUGAAGCUGUAGAUCUUAUCCUCCUGAAGAUACAGCAGAAGAGCAAGAUCACAAUGAAUUUUAUAUCCCUGAAGAUACGAGUAGAUUGAAGCCACAAGUCAUAACUCUGAAGUCGCGAUGGAUUGAGCCAAAGCUACAAGAUGCGGUGGACUGGAAACUACCUGAACAAGAAGAGCACCAAAGAAGUCAACACUUGGCAAGACCGGACAAAAUUGGCCUUUAUUUGUGUCUUUGCUCUAUUCCCGUUAUACGACAAUGAGCAAAGAGGGGCAGCUGUUGUAGGCCAAUUUUGACCCGUUUACAAAAUACCCAGGCCCAUUAAACCAUUUAACCUAUCCUCAAACCCAAAACCUAAAAUUAAUCUAGCCUAACAUCCAAGCCCAAUCCCGAAACCCUAGAUCCCUACUUGCCUCUCCCCACUCUCCCAUGCUGUCUUCCACCUUGCGUACUACCACCACCACUCCCCACGCACGUCACAUGCCUCCAUACACGCGUCUGGUCACCCAUUUCACCUGCAAAAACGAGACAAACACGCGAAGAUAGAGAGGCCACAAGAGCAAAAAACAAAAAAACAGUAGAAAUAUUUUUGUAUUCGGCUAUAUAGCCUGGUAAAAAUGUAAUACCAGGAUACUAGCAAUCAAGAGAAAAAACACAGCAAGGUGGAUCUUUGAUUUCAUUUUAUUUGUUUUCAUUUCGUUUUAACUUCUUCUUAGUUUCCUUUCAAAUUUACUACAAAUAAAUAAACAAAAGGGGGUUUUGUUUUCAAAUACAAAAAAGGGGAUUGUAUUACACAGAUUAUUAAUCAAAAAGAGAACUAAAAAGGUUGUUUUCAUAUUUUCUUUUCUUGGUUUUUUCUUUAGAUUUUUUAUUUUAUUUUCUGUGUUAAAUCUUUUUUAAAAAUAAAAAUAAAAAACGAAAGAGGGGCUGAAAACUUACCUAUUCUUCGCGUCCCGCCACCAUCGGAGAUUCCCCGAUCCAAGAGAGCCACAAAACCCCUCAGGUUUCUCGUUUAGGC
This 1325-nucleotide long non-coding RNA is filed under the name Gossypium barbadense (sea-island cotton). RNAcentral describes it as "long non-coding RNA (GBAR_LNC001111)". The record is from RNAcentral. Lineage: Eukaryota; Viridiplantae; Streptophyta; Magnoliopsida; Malvales; Malvaceae.